GUUUCAACUGCUGAGGUUUUCUUCAAGCUUUUGCAUUGUUUGGAAUGUGAAAGGCACGGCUGAGACACACUUUGGCAUUCCCACUGCAUUGUUACACCUCCCCCAUCACUUCAGGUCCAGGAUUCCUAUCGUCUGUCUCCACGUGAUACACUGAAGAGCCUUCACGUUGAUGCAGGUCCAGGGCCUCAAGUGCAGAGACUGAGAGCUCUGCAGGACACAGCAUGGAGCUGCCAUUCCUCUACUGGGUGGAGGAGCAUGUGUCCUCUGAACAGGGGAUCCAAGCCCUGAGAUGUUCUUUCUCAGCUGUCAGUGCGGCCCAGGACUUUCUGUGGGGAUGCUCACAGAGCAGGGGCCGGAGGACUUUUAGCCACCACCUCCCAUGGCCAGUCUUCACAAAUUACCUUUUGCUAAUUUGAUUGUCUCUCCUCCUGGGGUCUAGGACUUCAAACAUGUACAGAAGCAAUUGCAGAAUUAAGACAAGA
This 482-nucleotide long non-coding RNA is filed under the name Pan troglodytes (chimpanzee). RNAcentral describes it as "long non-coding RNA NONPTRT001741". The record is from RNAcentral. Lineage: Eukaryota; Metazoa; Chordata; Mammalia; Primates; Hominidae.